RNAcentral lists this transfer-messenger RNA (359 nucleotides) under Planctomycetota bacterium. RNAcentral describes it as "Planctomycetes bacterium (sediment metagenome) transfer-messenger RNA". It matches the Rfam family "transfer-messenger RNA". From Rfam's summary of the family: Bacterial tmRNA, also known as 10Sa RNA or SsrA, is named for its dual tRNA and mRNA-like properties. Its role is to liberate the mRNA from a stalled ribosome. The record is from RNAcentral. RNAcentral also lists the same sequence under 1 other name. Lineage: Bacteria; Pseudomonadati; Planctomycetota.
GGGGGCGAAUUGGAUUCGACCGGGCAGCUUGAAGCGUUGGCGGCGUGUCGUGGUUGGUCAGCAGGCCACGUUAAAAGCCGACCACCAAUUAAAUGCCGAGCCUCGGCUCGCAAUGGCUGCUUAGUAAGAGCGGCCCCGGCUGAAGACCUUCGCCGAAGAGGUCUGACUGCCGGCUGCAAAUUCGGCUCGCUGCGGGUCAUUGUCGGGUACGCCCGCGGUCAGAACCUGUUCCCGACUGGUCGUUGCCAAGCCGUGUCGGUUGGGCCGGGCAGCGGCGAGAACCAAUCAACCGAAUACACACGUAGAUGCCGGCGUGGAAAUGUCGCGGGACGCGGGUUCGAUCCCCGCCGCCUCCACUG